GGUGGCAGCAGCCGCGGGAACACCGGCAGCUCUAGUGGUAGCUGUUUUAUUGGGCCUAAAGCGUUCGUAGCCGGUUUAAUAAGUCUCUGGUGAAAUCCUAUAGCUUAACUGUGGGAAUUGCUGGAGAUACUAUUAGGCUUGAGAUCGGGAGAGGUCAGAGGUACUCCUGGGGUAGGGGUGAAAUCCUGUAAUCCUAGGAGGACCACCUGUGGCGAAGGCGUCUGACUAGAACGAAUCUGACGGUGAGGAACGAAAGCUAGGGGCGCGAACCGGAUUAGAUACCCGGGUAGUCCUAGCCGUAAACUAUGCGGACUUGGUGUGAGGGUGGCUUUGAGCCGUCCUGGUGCCGAAGGGAAGCUGUUAAGUCCGCCGCCUGGGAAGUACGGUCGCAAGACUGAAACUUAAAGGAAUUGGCGGGGAGCACCACAACGCGUGGAGCCUGCGGUUUAAUUGGAUUCAACGCCGGAGAUCUCACCAGCGGCGACAGCAGUAUGAUGACCAGGUUGAUGACUUUGUUUGACAAGCUGAGUGGAGGUGCAUGG
Molecule: ribosomal RNA, 542 nt
Filed under: uncultured archaeon
Lineage: Archaea
Description: bacterial SSU rRNA
Rfam family: Archaeal small subunit ribosomal RNA
Source: RNAcentral